AAAAUAUAGAGCCAAUUAUGAGACUCAUGGUUGGAGUUGCUCUAAACCUUGUGAUUAAAUCUUGUAAUUUAGAAUAUACUCAGUUUGGAACAGGGAAAAGUACAUGCAUGCAUGCAUAUAUAUAUAUAUAGCUAGAAUUAUUGAGACGACACGUCUCAUCUCCUGCGCGGGCGGUACUGCAUGUGGUGGCACAAGACGACGGGCCCUGGCGGUGUAUAGCUAGCUAGAAUUAUAGGAGGUCAUCCUCCUUGUGCGUCUCGAUGACGACGUCGGAGGUGGGGUACGCAGCGCAGGUGAGCACCCAACCGUCGGCGACCUGGUUGUCGUUGAGGAAGCUCUGGUCGGACUGGUCGACGGAGCCAGAGACGACCUUGCCGGCGCAGGAGGAGCAGGACCCCGCACGGCAGGAGAAGGGCAGGUCGAUGCCUUCCUCCUCGGCGAAGUCCAGGAUGUAGACGUCGUCGGGCACCUGCAGCUCCACCUCCCCCUCCGGC
RNAcentral lists this long non-coding RNA (494 nucleotides) under Zea mays. RNAcentral describes it as "long non-coding RNA (ZMAY_LNC003533)". Lineage: Eukaryota; Viridiplantae; Streptophyta; Magnoliopsida; Poales; Poaceae. The record is from RNAcentral.